CCCAUUUAACUGCUACGUGCAUCCAAGGCACCUUCCUUUGUCUACACAGCAAUUGGCCAACCGUCUUAGCUGAUUUUAGUUUGCUUUAUUCACUACAACCGCUGUCAAGCUUUAUUUCUGGCUUCUCUCUUAAUUUACCAAGUGUUAACAGCAUCUUCAUUCUGUCCUCCUAAAUCUACCAAAUGUUCCAAACAACUGCAUUUCUACUAGGUUCAUGAGUUCAUCUUUCACCUCAUGUGACCCCCAUUAGCCAUGAGACUCAUCUAUACAGCAAAUCCAGCAAGUUGAUUCAUAAAUGAGAAUCAAUAGAAAGUUAGGAAACACAAAGGAAUGUUGAUAUUCCGAAUAUGAAAAGAUUGCAUGAGAGACAUCUAAGAAGAUGUAUAGAUGUUUCACAGGUUGGGAAAUCGGGUGACAUGAAUAAAAAGAGGGCCUAAUUGCUAGACAGAGUCACAGUCACAACAGUAAAUAAACUAACCUAUUGAAAAAAGCAUAUAUAGAAACUUAAAUUGUCUAUCUUUUUAAUGAGUUGGCAACCCACUCCAUGGACCCCACUAAAGUUAUGGCUGCAACAUUUUGUUUGCUAAAGGGUUGUGAAAUAGAUGAACAUAACAUGGGGACUGAAAUCAUUCGGUAACUGAUAGCAUGAAACUUGAAAAUAUAAAAUAAAUCAACAGCAUUAAAAAAAAAAAAUCUUUACUGAUCUUCAAAAGUGCAAGAAAGAAUAACACUAUCAUGAACCAGCAUAUGUAAAUCACAAUGAAACACAAGAUAGUGCGAUAUGAAAUAAUGCUACACAGAAUACCACCAUGCCAUACUGCUGGCUAUUGCAACACAAUCCAAACCACAUUGUACGCAUCAUCAUCAUCUAUCUUCAAGAAGCAUCUCAAAUUGAACUCAUACUAAAAUCACAUUAUUUAUGAUAAAGGUUUUUUUAAAAAAGAAUAUACUUACAAAAGAAACGUAAUUGAUAUGAUCGAUUGCAAACUUACUAUGUGCAUUCCAUCAUUGAUGAACUCUAUAAAAAAAGCAAAGCACCCUGAUAGAUAAAAGAACGUAAAGAAACACUGCUUGCUAACGAUUAAUUUCCAGCUUCAAAUGAAAAAGAGAAAUAUCCAUGCCUGCUAUAUCACUUUAGAAGAAUCAGAUGGUACAUGUAUAUGUAAACAAAAUAAAUUACGCACUUUAAAGCAGCAACUCUGACAUGAAUGCUUGUCCCAUCUUGUAAGCGUUUAAGCAGAAUAGGUUGCAAAUAUGCUAAAUGGGAUUGAGAUAUAGGGCCAAUUGUUUCAGUUAGAGGGCAGAAAAGGAUCAAAGCCACCUAGCAUAGAAUCAGAAGAGCAAAAUAAACACAAACUGUCAAUGAAUAUUUAGAAGAAUCAACAAUGCACUUAAAUUACAAAUAAGAAUGCCAAGUUAUUAAAAGAAAACCACUCAAUCAUAAACCAAUAAGCAGUAACUUUGACAGAAGAAUUGGAUGCAAAACAUAUUCUCAGGGCAUCAGCCCAAAUAUAUACAAAUGUAUAAGGUGCACACUGAAAUCAUGAGAAAUUGAGAAUAUACAUGCUUGAAAUGUAAUGUCAGAAAACAAAGCAAAGUCAUACAUACAUACAUACACUCAUACACAUGGAUACAAAUAACACACACACACACACACACAUAAUUUGAGCAACUUCAACCAUAUUAUAAUUGUCGUCUUGGAGUCUGUCAUGACUCCAAAAAAAAAUCUCAAAAAAAAAAUGUGUAUAUAUAAUACACACACACACACACCCACUACAUACACACACACACACACACACACACACACACAUAUAUAUGGAUAUUCUAAAUCUCCAUUAAACACAGUAGGAGGGAAUGU
Molecule: long non-coding RNA, 1858 nt
Filed under: Elaeis guineensis (African oil palm)
Lineage: Eukaryota; Viridiplantae; Streptophyta; Magnoliopsida; Arecales; Arecaceae
Description: long non-coding RNA (EGUI_LNC016569)
Source: RNAcentral